GACGUAGGGAGCGAGCGUUGUCCGGAUUCAUUGGGCGUAAAGCGCGCGUAGGCGGCUUCGUUAGUCGGGUGUGAAAAUCCGGGGCUCAACCCCGGACCUGCAUCCGAUACUGCGAGGCUAGAGGUAGGUAGGGGAGAUCGGAAUUCCUGGUGUAGCGGUGAAAUGCGCAGAUAUCAGGAGGAACACCGGUGGCGAAGGCGGAUCUCUGGGCCUUACCUGACGCUGAGGUGCGAAAGCUAGGGGAGCGAACAGG
Molecule: ribosomal RNA, 253 nt
Filed under: uncultured bacterium
Lineage: Bacteria
Description: partial 16S ribosomal RNA
Rfam family: Bacterial small subunit ribosomal RNA
Source: RNAcentral